UCCAUUUUCAGGUGGAGGAAAUGAAGCUUAACAAGGUGAAGUUAAAAAACCUUUAAAACCCGGAUGCCCAGGCCACACCCCAGUCACCCAGCGCAGGCCCAGCAUCUUGACCCCCGCCCACUGCAGGGCCUCCUGCCUCUGCCCUCGGCCGGGUUUAUAAGGAGGAACUCAGCAGCAACGCGGGGGUCUUGCAGCUCUCCCUCCCGCUCCGAGGAAAGUGACAGCGGGUCGUGACCCACAGGCAUACGCAGCAGCGUCAACUCCGUCCACCGUGAGUCAGAGCUGGAAGAUGUCAAGUUUCUCUGUUCUGUGUAUGCACGAUUCCAGGGAAGACCGUCAGUGUUCCUGUCCUUAGACAUGCAGUAAUACCUUAUGGCCACAAGGCGGCAGCUCCCAGCUCAAUGUAAGCUGAAAUGAAGAAAGUGAUGGGUUGUUAGUCAAGACAACUGAAACACGUUCAUCUUCCAUCUUUUCAAGGAAAAGCAUGUUGCGUGGGAGGUUUCUACUGGCCCAGGAAGUGGAAAUCAGUGAGUUGGAUUUUUCCUGUGCAUGGGACGGGAGCUUCCUGAGAAUCACUGGUCAAGCACGAGGGUCACUGCAAGACAAGGCCCUGGCGUCCCAUCCUGGCUCAGACUUCUGCUUGGCCAGUGGCUGGCUGGCCGAGCCCUGUGCCCAGCUGAGAUGAAGGGCCUUGUGGUGGCCAACAGGACUCAGAGAAGGAUAACGGAAAAGUGCCCAUCACUUCCUCCAUUGAGUGUGGCGAGGAAACCGAAUUUCUCCCGUGGGUCAAGUCAACAUCGAAGAAGGGAAUGGUCAGGUAUGAGCCUUCUUCCAGGUAUGAGCAUCCCAGCAGUGGGAUGCUGCUGGUCGGGAGGGCGAGGACACCUCAUAUGCAUAGAGGAGUCCAGAGUCGGACAUUUGGACGCCUUCUCCACGGAGGUGAGCCAACCUAAGCGACCACCUGGAAACAGAGGAGAGGGAGGGAAGGAAGGUGUCCCAGUGGGACCCACAGCCAUGCCCUCCUGUGCUGGUGGGAGCUAGAGAGAAGAGGGGAGAGUCUGUUUCUUCAUAGUCAGGGGAAAAACUUAACUUCUGAGAACAGUCUCCAAGGGACAAAACAAAAAACAACCCAAGGAAGGGCUGUGCUUCCAGAAAUGGGGAAGUGGUUCCCACAAGCCCAGCCCUGCCUUGUAGAAUGAUCACCUUUCAACAAAACAUAAAACAACAAGUGCCUGGAGCCUCUGGAGAGAGACCAAAGGCGCAGAAACUAAAGGGAACCAGGUGUCCGGAAAAGGAUGGACAGACGGAGGAUGGACAGACGGGCCGAGAGCCAGGUGUUCACGCAGGAUCUGGGUACUGAGCGUGUGGGUGUUCCCUGCACAGUUCUUUCAACUUUUCUGUGUGUUCAAAAUUUUUUACAAUACAAUAUUGGUGAAAAAAAUCAUUGGAGUGAAUUUGACUCCAGCAGUAAAAAAAAAAAAAAAUCCAAGUUAUUAUUAAGUGUAGUUUUACUCCAAUGUCAAUAUCAUGUGUCUAGUUGUAGCCCAAUAUCUAACACACGUACAGGGGAACACAUCUAACGUGUUAGAUUUCAUGCCAGAAUAAAAUAAUUCAUCACUUGUAUUUCCUGAUUUAUUUUCAGUGACUCACAAAUGUUUGUCUCCUAUAUGCGUGCUUUGUAGUCACAUAGGUUGAUCAG
Balaenoptera acutorostrata (minke whale) is the source of this 1699-nucleotide long non-coding RNA. RefSeq lists it as uncharacterized. The record is from RefSeq and is a predicted model, not a curated record. The transcript has 4 exons. NCBI's taxonomy places the organism in Eukaryota, Metazoa, Chordata, Mammalia, Artiodactyla, Balaenopteridae.